This 191-nucleotide small nuclear RNA is filed under the name Aphidius gifuensis. RNAcentral describes it as "U2 spliceosomal RNA". It matches the Rfam family "U2 spliceosomal RNA". Rfam says of the family: U2 is a small nuclear RNA (snRNA) component of the spliceosome (involved in pre-mRNA splicing). Complementary binding between U2 snRNA (in an area lying towards the 5' end but 3' to hairpin I) and the branchpoint sequence (BPS) of the intron results the bulging out of an unpaired adenosine, on the BPS, which initiates a nucleophilic attack at the intronic 5' splice site, thus starting the first of two transesterification reactions that mediate splicing. The record is from Rfam by way of RNAcentral. Lineage: Eukaryota; Metazoa; Arthropoda; Insecta; Hymenoptera; Braconidae.
AUCGCUUCUCGGCUUAAUAGCUAAGAUCAAAGUGUAGUAUCUGUUCUUUUCAGCUUAAUAUCUGAAACGCUCCUCAUUGAGGAGCCAGAAUAUUAAACUGUUUUUUGUAACUGGAUAGAUGCCGGGGCUUGCCUUGGCUCUAUCACGGGUUUAUCCGGUAUAGCAGUACCACCGGAGAAAGCCCACAUAAU